This 738-nucleotide ribosomal RNA is filed under the name Bacillus sp. CUA-813. RNAcentral's name for it is "bacterial SSU rRNA". It matches the Rfam family "Bacterial small subunit ribosomal RNA", at positions 100 to 825 of the family's 1533-position model. The record is from RNAcentral. Lineage: Bacteria; Bacillati; Bacillota; Bacilli; Caryophanales; Bacillaceae.
GACGGGUGAGUAACACGUGGGUAACCUGCCUGUAAGACUGGGAUAACUCCGGGAAACCGGAGCUAAUACCGGAUAGUUCCUUGAACCGCAUGGUUCAAGGAUGAAAGACGGUUUCGGCUGUCACUUACAGAUGGACCCGCGGCGCAUUAGCUAGUUGGUGGGGUAAUGGCUCACCAAGGCGACGAUGCGUAGCCGACCUGAGAGGGUGAUCGGCCACACUGGGACUGAGACACGGCCCAGACUCCUACGGGAGGCAGCAGUAGGGAAUCUUCCGCAAUGGACGAAAGUCUGACGGAGCAACGCCGCGUGAGUGAUGAAGGUUUUCGGAUCGUAAAGCUCUGUUGUUAGGGAAGAACAAGUGCGAGAGUAACUGCUCGCACCUUGACGGUACCUAACCAGAAAGCCACGGCUAACUACGUGCCAGCAGCCGCGGUAAUACGUAGGUGGCAAGCGUUGUCCGGAAUUAUUGGGCGUAAAGGGCUCGCAGGCGGUUUCUUAAGUCUGAUGUGAAAGCCCCCGGCUCAACCGGGGAGGGUCAUUGGAAACUGGGAAACUUGAGUGCAGAAGAGGAGAGUGGAAUUCCACGUGUAGCGGUGAAAUGCGUAGAGAUGUGGAGGAACACCAGUGGCGAAGGCGACUCUCUGGUCUGUAACUGACGCUGAGGAGCGAAAGCGUGGGGAGCGAACAGGAUUAGAUACCCUGGUAGUCCACGCCGUAAACGAUGAGUGCUAAGUGUUA